Molecule: long non-coding RNA, 2446 nt
Organism: Gasterosteus aculeatus aculeatus (three-spined stickleback)
Lineage: Eukaryota; Metazoa; Chordata; Actinopteri; Perciformes; Gasterosteidae
Source: Ensembl
CCCCCCCGUCUGCCACAACCCGACCAAGCGCCGCCCUGGCAGCAUAUAUAUGAGCAGCUGCCAGUCUCACAUGGAGGUCAGACAUCGAUCCACUCUGAGACAAGACAGCGAUCACAGGUGCCGGUUUUAUCUACGAUUUUACAGAAGUAAGAAGGAAGCAGCUUUACGAGCCACUGGAACCGGAUUAGAGAUGAAGGUUUUGACAACCGCCCUCCUCUUUGUUCUUUUGUCUACAAUUGCAUCCACUAAGCCGGUGAGCUAACCAGAAAGUUGAAUCUCCCCUCCUCCUCCUCCUCCUCCUCCUCCUCGUCCCUCACCGCUCUCUUUCUCAUACUGACUGACUCGGAUUCCUCACUGUGUUUUGCUGCAGUCAAACUGUAGUAUUUUAUCAAGAUGAAUAUUCACAGACUGGUCUCUUUAUAUUGCAGUUAAGUGUUACAUACUGAGACAAUUCCCCUGCGUAUGCUAGAGGACAAACAACAUUCACAUCCGGCCUUGCUUAUACCAUAAAGAACACGUGACCUCUGCAGAGCCAUCACAUAUACAUCCGUUUUCUACUGUUUUUAUGCGUGGGCCUCAGAGUGUAAUAUCUCAUUCAUUGGACAUUUACUCCACAGAUUGGGCCGGCGUCGACAUCAUGGUACCAACAUUGCUGGCAAAGACUCGACACGGGGACGGCCAAGCCGGCAUUGGUUUUCUUGGCGGCCUCGUGACUCGUCAUCGGAGUCCAAUCAGUCCUCGGACUCUUCCUCCGAAUCCAGCGAAUCCUCAGAGAGUCGGUCUUCAGAGGAGUCUGCCGAGGUCACUACACCAGAUGGGAGCACGUUCACUUCUGAACCAGACACAACGAUUUCAGACGAGCCAACUGUGGAUGCGUCAACGCCCCCGGCAGCAACACGGGCCACGGCCGUUCCCGGGACGUCACCAGGAUGCGUGACUCUGGAUUUUACCGAGGGCUUUACCACAAAUGUUCCCGUCACAGAAAACCGAGGAGACAACUAACCAACCACGUCCCCGCUGCAGACGCAUCGCUGCAUCCCAUCAACAAGUUGUUGCGUUUGCAGGGUGGCGACACAAGCGGGAGAAAAUCCCACCUGCAACUAUCGCUUAUCACCAUAGAUGUUUCCUCAUGAAAGGUCAACAUAAGAGGCAGCGAGGCUAGUGUGAAAAAAGAGGGCUCGCUACUAUAAGUCAAAAUAGCUGCCUGAUUCUGAAAAAGAAUUGCUCAAUUUAAGAAAAGUGUAGCGGUAACUUUACAUUAACAAAUCUGUGGCUCGGGCACGUUUACCGUAGAAAGGAGGUAUGAUACUUUGGGGCAUUUACUUUUGGUGACCUUGUUACAACAAGCACAUUUACAUAUUCAACAACAACAAAAACAGUUUCCCUUCUGCAUGAAGCAGCCUGCAUCUUUGUUGGCCUGGAUCUACAGGAUCUGCAAGAGUGUGUGUUUUAUAUAACAGUCAUGUUUGUUUCUUCUUAAGGAAAAUAAAGGAAUCUAAAUUACGUUAUAAAAUAAGUGUCAUAUUUUGUCAAAUCAUUAACUUUCCAUCAGCAGAUUUUAUGUUUAGGUUAUAAUUUAUGGUACUACGAUUAAACAUUCGCGAGGAGCGAGGAGUAGAGCCGCUGCUCCUUUGAGUCGAAAGGAGCCAGUUGAGGUGGUUUGGGCAUCUGGUGAGGAUGCCACCCGGGCGCUUCCCUAGGGAGGUGUUCCAGGCACGGCCAGCUGGGAAGAGGCCCCGGGGAAGACCCAGGACUAGGUGGAGAGAUUAUAUCUCUGCACUGGCCUGCAUGGGAACGCCUUGGGAUCCCCCAGUCAGAGCUGGUAGAUGUGGCCCGGGAAAGGGAAGCUUGGGGUCCCCUGCUGGAGCUGUUGCCCGCGCAACCCGACCCCGGAUAAGCGGUUGAAGAUGGAUGGACGAUUAAACAUUGUUGAUCUUAAAGUAGUGUAGACAGCUCAAGUUACUGCACUGAUGGAAAGGAUUCAGCUGAUUGCAAGCUGCCACCAAAUCCUCCACGCGGUCCCUUAAAGGCCACAACACAAGCAGUGACUGAAAUAAUCAUGUGAAAGACAAAUAUGUCACCAGGGGGACAUUGUGGUUUCUGUAAAUUAUUGGUUUGUUAUACUUUAGCGUGGUUUGGUUUUGCAUUUGCACAUGCAGAAGGAGAAGCCACAGGAGAGCAGAAGCCACAGUGAAAUCAAGCGAGAGGACGGCAAGACAGCGGACGAGCAGACGGGGUGCAAACGAAGAGAGGAACGAGACGGACUGGACACCUCACUCAGGAAAGGAACGGAACCAGAAACUAGAAGAAAGGGCAGGACGGAUCAGCAGCAGUGGCUGGUCGAAUUCUUAAUCUUUUUUUAGCACUUUGUUCCAGCUGGACUUUUAAUACAAUUGUAGUUAUUUAUGGGUUUUUAGUUAAUAAUAAAAUCCUCCUUUUAAACCAC